RNA transcript from Cucurbita moschata (crookneck pumpkin), 1227 nucleotides. It is a transcript of the gene named transcription factor bHLH63-like, with no coding region annotated. Lineage: Eukaryota; Viridiplantae; Streptophyta; Magnoliopsida; Cucurbitales; Cucurbitaceae. The transcript is spliced from 7 exons. The record is from RefSeq and is a predicted model, not a curated record.
UUAUUUAUAUAUCUCAUCCGUUUUAUUCACUUUCUUCAACAAAAAACCAAACCCCAUUAACUUUUCCGGGUUGCCGGCCGGCCAGAUGCUGUCGAAGUCGGAGAUGACAAUGUCGGAAAAACAGAGGACUCCAGUCAAAUGGCGGCGAAGCCACGGUGACUGCCACAGCUUGUCGCCCGUCUCGAAUCAAGCGAGCCGGGUCAAUGAUUUUCAGGAUCUGCUUGCACCUGGAGGUUGGCCUGAGUUGACCAAGUACGAGUUCUCCUCCACCGAGACAUGUUCGCCACCGCCGGAGGCGAACUCCGUGGCGGUCGGAGAGAUUCCGAAGAAGAGAAAGGCCAACAAGAACAAGGAACUGAAAUCCAAACUGGGUAAUGCUGAAUCUGACAAAAGAAUCAAACCAAAUAAUCAAGAAGAAGAACAACAACAAUCAAAGAUAACAGAGGAAACAGAGGAAACAGAGGAAACAGAGACGUCGAAACAGAGUUCAAGAGCUUCUGAUUACGUUCAUGUAAGAGCCCGUCCAGGCCAAGCUACAGAUAGCCACAGUCUCGCAGAACGAGCGAGGAGAGAGAAGAUAAGUGAGAGAAUGAAGUAUUUGCAGAACUUGGUACCUGGGUGUAACAAAAUUGCAGGAAAAGCUGGAAUGCUGGAUGAAAUUAUAAAUUAUGUUCAAUCUCUUCAGCAACAAGUGGAGUUCUUAUCCAUGAAGCUGGCCACUGCGAAUCCGAGACUCGAUUUCAUCAAUGUCGAUGACCCUUUUUGUAAACAGGUGUUUCCGGCGACGGAAAUCUCCCCGGAAACGGCUACUUCUUCAUCGUACUUUAAUGAGCUUGGAAUCAGCUCAAGUUCUGUAACAGUCCCACAAACUCCAUUGAUCAGCUCAGCUUCUGUUACUCAAUUGGAGCUCUGUUCAACUUGGGGAGAUGAUUUACAAAGGGUUUGCAGUAUGAGCUUAGAAGAAGGAGGGCCGCCAUUGUUGUCGCUAUCGAGCUUUCUGUGGCAGCAAUAUCCAGGCAUUGAAGAUGAAAAGGAAACAUUUGUAGACGACAAAGUUGUCGGUCCAUUUUAAGAGAGUUAACAUGUUGCAACAUUCAAAUCCAACGACUGUUUCAUGAUGGAAUUCAAAACAUUCAAUUUCCUCUGUUUUAUGUAAAUUAACUAGAGAUAUUGAUAGAAGAUAAGUUAGUGCCAUCUCUUUUAUUUGUGUUAACAAAAAUUUUAUUG